Molecule: ribosomal RNA, 460 nt
Filed under: uncultured bacterium
Lineage: Bacteria
Description: partial 16S ribosomal RNA
Rfam family: Bacterial small subunit ribosomal RNA
Source: RNAcentral
CCUACGUGAGGCAGCAGUGAGGAAUAUUGGUCAAUGGGCGCGAGCCUGAACCAGCCAAGCAGCGUGAAGGAUGACUGCCCUACGGGUUGUAAACUUCUUUUAUAAAGGAAUAAAGUGAGGCACGUGUGCCUUUUUGUGGGUACUUUAUGAAUAAGGAUCGGCUAACUCCGUGCCAGCAGCCGCGGUAAUACGGAGGAUCCGAGCGUUAUCCGGAUUUAUUGGGUUUAAAGGGAGCGUAGAUGGGUUGUUAAGUCAGUUGUGAAAGUUUGCGGCUCAACCGUAAAAUUGCAAUUGAUACUGGCAGUCUUGAGUUCAGUUGAGGUAGGCGGAAUUCGUGGUGUAGCGGUGAAAUGCUUAGAUAUCACGAAGAACUCCGAUUGCGAAGGCAGCUUACUAAACUGCCACUGACGUUGAUGCUCGAAAGUGUGGGUAUCAAACAGGAUUAGAUACCCCUGUAGUC